This 498-nucleotide ribosomal RNA is filed under the name uncultured bacterium. Its description in RNAcentral is "bacterial SSU rRNA". It matches the Rfam family "Bacterial small subunit ribosomal RNA", at positions 30 to 518 of the family's 1533-position model. The record is from RNAcentral.
UGAACGCUAGCUACAGGCUUAACACAUGCAAGUCGAGGGGCAGCAUGGUCUAGCUGCUAAGAUGAUGGCGACCGGCGCACGGGUGAGUAACGCGUAUCCAACCUUCCCUAUAGUAGGGGGAUAGCCCGUAGAAAUGCGGAUUAAUACCCUAUGUUGUAUUUCGAUGACAUCUGACGAAUACCAAAGGUUCACCGCUAUAGGAUGGGGAUGCGUCUGAUUAGGUAGUCGGCGGGGUAACGGCCCACCGAGCCAACGAUCAGUAGGGGUUCUGAGAGGAAGGUCCCCCCACAUUGGAACUGAGACACGGUCCAAACUCCUACGGGAGGCAGCAGUGAGGAAUAUUGGUCAAUGGGCGAGAGCCUGAACCAGCCAAGUAGCGUGCAGGAUGACGGCCCUAUGGGUUGUAAACUGCUUUUAUGCGGGGAUAAAGUGAGGGACGUGUCCCUUAUUGUAGGUACCGCAUGAAUAAGGACCGGCUAAUUCCGUGCCAGCCGCCGC